RNAcentral lists this ribosomal RNA (253 nucleotides) under uncultured bacterium. RNAcentral describes it as "partial 16S ribosomal RNA". It matches the Rfam family "Bacterial small subunit ribosomal RNA", at positions 524 to 776 of the family's 1533-position model. The record is from RNAcentral.
UACGGAGGGUGCAAGCGUUAUCCGGAUUCACUGGGUUUAAAGGGUGCGUAGGUGGGCAGGUAAGUCAGUGGUGAAAUCCCCGAGCUUAACUCGGGAACUGCCAUUGAUACUAUCUGUCUUGAAUAUCCUGGAGGUAAGCGGAAUAUGUCAUGUAGCGGUGAAAUGCUUAGAUAUGACAUAGAACACCCAUUGCGAAGGCAGCUUACUACGGGAUUAUUGACACUGAGGCACGAAAGCGUGGGGAUCAAACAGG